This 253-nucleotide ribosomal RNA is filed under the name uncultured bacterium. Its description in RNAcentral is "partial 16S ribosomal RNA". It matches the Rfam family "Bacterial small subunit ribosomal RNA", at positions 524 to 776 of the family's 1533-position model. The record is from RNAcentral.
UACAGAGGAUGCAAGCGUUAUCCGGAAUGAUUGGGCGUAAAGCGUGCGUAGGUGGUUUGUUAAGUCUGAUGUGAAAGCCCUGGGCUCAACCUGGGAAUUGCAUUGGAUACUGGCAGGCUAGAGUGCGGUAGAGGAUGGCGGAAUUCCCGGUGUAGCAGUGAAAUGCGUAGAGAUCGGGAGGAACAUCUGUGGCGAAGGCGGCCAUCUGGACCAGCACUGACACUGAGGCACGAAAGCGUGGGGAGCAAACAGG